UGUCCAGGAUCGUGCCUACCUUCAACUAG
Molecule: non-coding RNA, 29 nt
Filed under: Mus musculus (house mouse)
Lineage: Eukaryota; Metazoa; Chordata; Mammalia; Rodentia; Muridae
Source: RNAcentral